GGUUCAGGAUGAACGCUAGCGGCAGGCUUAACACAUGCAAGUCGAGGGGCAUCGGGAGUAGCAAUACUUGCCGGCGACCGGCGCAAGGGUGCGUAACGCGUGAGCAACAUGCCCGUAUCAGGGGGAUAAUCCAUGGAAACGUGGUCUAAUACCCCAUAGUAAUUAUGUAAGGCAUCUUAUAUAAUUUAAAGCUUUGGUGGAUACGGAUUGGCUCGCGUGACAUUAGCUGGAUGGUAAGGUAACGGCUUACCAUGGCUACGAUGUCUAGGGGUUCUGAGAGGAAGGUCCCCCACACUGGAACUGAGACACGGUCCAGACUCCUACGGGAGGCAGCAGUGAGGAAUAUUGGACAAUGGAUGGAAAUCUGAUCCAGCCAUGCCGCGUGCAGGAAGACGGCCCUAUGGGUUGUAAACUGCUUUUGUAUGGGAGCAAUAAGGGCUACGUGUAGUCCGAUGAGAGUACCAUACGAAUAAGCACCGGCUAACUCCGUGCCAGCCGCCGC
Molecule: ribosomal RNA, 502 nt
Filed under: uncultured bacterium
Lineage: Bacteria
Description: bacterial SSU rRNA
Rfam family: Bacterial small subunit ribosomal RNA
Source: RNAcentral